CGGGGCCAGCCGGGCCCGGCGCCCACGCCCGCUGGGCAGGGGUGGGGAGAACGGCGCGGACGCGGCGCCCUCGGGUGCGCCCGGACCCCACACCCCGGGUUUUUCAGAACGACCCAGAGUGAGAGCAGGCAGGAGGAGUAGUCUGCGCCAGAGGAAAGGAGAAGGAGCAGGAGAGGGCUGCUGAAGGGACCCAAACAGACACUGCUCCCCGAAGCCUCUGCGGGCCAGAAGGCACCAGCAGCACCCAGAGAGGAAGAGCUGAUACUGUGUGCGGCCCUACCCUGGGCUCCGAGCAGCCUCAACGAGAAGGAAGCCCUCCUGGAGCUCCCAGGCUGGGACAGGAGCCCCUCUGGCUCCCAUGCACCUGACUCCCCUCCACGCUGCACUGGCAUGGUCUGUUAACUUUCAUUCUUACAUCUGUCAGUAUUAGUGGGGAACCUAGUUCUUCUAAGCGAAAGUGCUGGGACUAGAGCAGAAACCAGUCACCUUUAACCCACCAGGAAGACCAACGGGUCUGUGGGUGAGGAUUUGGGGGAAACCACAGCUGCGCAGCUAUGGCCCCAGGUCUUCCAGGUACUGCCUGUCAGGUGGCAGCUGGAGAUGGAACAGGGAGGACUUCAGUAGCCGGGGACUGGCAGAGCACCUGCUCUUCAAUGAGUGUCCGACAUCAUGUGAUCUUGCAAAGCCAGCUCAGGCUUCCUCACAGCAUGGUGGCUCUGGGGCAGGCAGCCACUGACAAGGCAGCUGGCCACCACUGAGAGCUCCCGAAGAGAAUAAACCACGAGACAUAGUAUUUUCAUGACCUAGGCUUAGCUGUAAAAAGUGUCACUUCUGACACAUUUGUUGUUGUUCCUGUUGUACUGGGAAUUGAAUCCAGGGCCUUUGCACUAAGCUACA
Molecule: long non-coding RNA, 897 nt
Filed under: Heterocephalus glaber (naked mole-rat)
Lineage: Eukaryota; Metazoa; Chordata; Mammalia; Rodentia; Bathyergidae
Description: lncRNA (ENSHGLG00000041533.1)
Source: RNAcentral